Alosa sapidissima (American shad) is the source of this 1383-nucleotide long non-coding RNA. RefSeq lists it as uncharacterized. The record is from RefSeq and is a predicted model, not a curated record. The transcript has 5 exons. NCBI's taxonomy places the organism in Eukaryota, Metazoa, Chordata, Actinopteri, Clupeiformes, Clupeidae.
CAGAAUAGACUGUUAUUGACUCUAAUAGAGUUACAUUUACUACAGUUGGAGUAAAAUGUACUCUAGCAUAUUAGUUAAAAAACAGAGUUAAAAUCACAAGAGUUAAUCAUCCACCCCAUUUUCUCAUUUGGACGCUAUUUUAGAAAUUUCUUGGGAGAUGUUUGCCUAAUUAUUAUUUGGAUAUUAUUCAUAAAAAAUCAAGUGUUUUCUUCUGGUUUAUUCCAAAGUCAUUCGGUAGCUUUAAGAUUUAUUUCUGGACUAGGCUACUAAAAAAUUACUUGCAAGUUUGUAGGCUAGCAUGUGCUACAGUAAAAUAGGCAAAUACUGCUAAGCUAUCACCCAUAAACCAGGCUAUAAACGGAGUCUCUGUUAUCAAGCCUAUAGCUGUUCACAAAGAAUAGUCAAAGCGAACAAACAUUAUAAUAAUAAUAAUAAUUAUUAUUAUUGUAUGUUUGUUACAUGCAAGUGUGUAAGGGCUCAGACAAAUUACUAACUGGCGGAACGUGCCCUCUGGCAUCUCACGUCAGAGACGAACGUUAGUAGCCUAUCACCCACUUCCUUCCAUUUGAGAGAAUGCAGCGACGCGACGGAGCCUGGUUAGAAGAAUCUCUCUGAAGUGCAGUUGAAGGAUGUUGGUGAAAGUUAAAUACCAGGCAGACCAGAUACAUUAAAAUGGUGGAAACUGAUGCCACUCUAGAGGAUUUCUUUAACCAAGUGUUCAUGAAAUUUGAUAUUGAAGCCAAACACCAAGCUGGGCUAAAAUGUAUGAUGAGUUUGGUACAGAAGAUUGACAACUAUGUGUCUGAAGAUGUGGUGAAGGAUCCAAAUUGUGGUGUAUUAAAGCUGAAGCCUGCAGAAGAUGAUGUAGAUGCAUUAUGUGAUUCAGAUGACACCACUGCCUUGUCUCCAAAUAAGCCCAAGGGAGAUGAUGGGGUAGAGUGAGAACAUUUCUAUGAUCCAGCCAGCGGAUCAGGGUACCUGGCCUGACGCAUUAAAACAAUUCAGAGGAAAGCCUCAGGAGCCACAAAGUCCAGCACACAAUGAACAUAAUGGAGGACGAGCUUCUGAAGAUGUGCCCGAGCCAGUCCUGAAUGAAGAACAGCUGAGAGAGGCGGUAUCUCAAAUGAAGCAUUCUUCUGAUGAAGAAGUUGUGCGGCUGAAGGUGAACGUUUGAUUAUCGUCAGAAAAAAAUGGUCCAUGACCCUCAAUCACCUCAUAUGCUUGCAACAUUCUCUCGAUUCGUGGAUGUAAUGGCAUCAGAUUGAGCAAGACUGUGUUACUGUUUGGUGAGAUUUCAGCGAACCUUCUUGAGAGGUGGUCAACUAUGUUCAAAGAGAAGACUAUUAAACAGAGUAAAGGUCUUUCUUCCUCCAGCAUCGAACU